RNAcentral lists this ribosomal RNA (466 nucleotides) under uncultured ciliate. RNAcentral's name for it is "SSU rRNA". It matches the Rfam family "Eukaryotic small subunit ribosomal RNA". The record is from RNAcentral. Lineage: Eukaryota; Ciliophora.
AUUUGUCUGGUUAAUUCCGAUAACGAACGAGACCUUAACCUGCUAACUAGAUUCUUCUAUUUUAUAGUUGAUAUCUUCUUAGAGGGACUAUGUAAUACAAAUACAUGGAAGUUUGAGGCAAUAACAGGUCAGUGAUGCCCUUAUAUGUCCUGGGCUGCACGCGUGCUACACUGAUGCAUACAACAAGUGCCUAGCCAGACAUGGUAUGGCAAUCUCGAAUACGCAUCGUGAUGGGGAUAGAUCUUUGCAAUUAUAGAUCUUGAACGAGGAAUUCCUAGUAAGUGCAAGUCAUCAUCUUGCAUUGAUUAUGUCCCUGCCCUUUGUACACACCGCCCGUCGCUCCUACCGAUACCGGGUGAUCCGGUGAACCUUUUGGACUCUUUAUGGGAAAGAUAAGUAAACCAUAUCACCUAGAGGAAGGAGAAGUCGUAACAAGGUUUCCGUAGGUGAACCUGCRGAAGGAUCA